This 268-nucleotide unclassified non-coding RNA is filed under the name Hevea brasiliensis (rubber tree). Lineage: Eukaryota; Viridiplantae; Streptophyta; Magnoliopsida; Malpighiales; Euphorbiaceae. The record is from RNAcentral.
AUUAUAAACAUCAGAAACUGCAUUCCUGUAAUUAUCAGUCAAAGAUCCAUUUGGUGCCAUCUGACUUCUUGGCUUAAAUGCUCUAGGUCCUUUAUUUCGUUCACCUAAUGUAUCAAGCGCAACAUUACAACUGUAUGAGAAGUCAAUGCACCUUCUCCCUUGUAUUGCUUCAUGAAGCGUGGGCCAGCUCUGACCGUUCAUUCCAAACAUAGAAGAGGAAACGUCAUAACCAGAGUUUGGAUUAGUUUGACCUUGAGGAUAGCUUUUA